CAGCAGCCGCGGUAAUACAGGGGAUGCGAGUGUUAUCCGGAAUUAUUGGGCGUAAAGCGCUUGCAGGUGGAUAUUUAAGUCUUUUGUUAAAUCUUUAAGCUCAACUUAAAAAAUGCAAAAGAAACUAAUUAUCUAGAGUAUGGUAGAGGUAAAGGGAAUUUCCAGUGGAGCGGUGAAAUGCGUAGAGAUUGGAAAGAACACCAAGGGCGAAGGCACUUUACUGGGCCGGCACUGACACUGAGGGGCGAAAGCUAGGGGAGCAAACAGGAUUAGAUACCCUGGUAGUCCUAGCUGUAAACGAUGGAUACUAGAUGUUGAACAUUUUUUUGUGCAGCGUCGUAGCUAACGCGUUAAGUAUCCCGCCUGGGAAGUAUGCUCGCAAGAGUGAAACUCAAAGGAAUUGACGG
Molecule: ribosomal RNA, 407 nt
Filed under: uncultured bacterium
Lineage: Bacteria
Description: bacterial SSU rRNA
Rfam family: Bacterial small subunit ribosomal RNA
Source: RNAcentral